Molecule: ribosomal RNA, 375 nt
Filed under: uncultured bacterium
Lineage: Bacteria
Description: bacterial SSU rRNA
Rfam family: Bacterial small subunit ribosomal RNA
Source: RNAcentral
GACGAACGCUGGCGGCGUGCUUAACACAUGCAAGUCAAGCGGUAAGGCCCUUUCGGGGGUACACGAGCGGCGAACGGGUGAGUAACACGUGGGUGACCUGCCUUUAGCUCUGGGAUAAGCCUGGGAAACCGGGUCUAAUACCGGAUAUGACUCCGCGGCGCAUGUUGUGGGGUGGAAAGCCUUGUGCGGCUGGAGAUGGGCCCGCGGCCUAUCAGCUUGUUGGUGGGGUGAUGGCCUACCAAGGCGACGACGGGUAGCCGGCCUGAGAGGGCGACCGGCCACACUGGGACUGAGACACGGCCCAGACUCCUACGGGAGGCAGCAGUGGGGAAUCUUGCGCAAUGGGCGAAAGCCUGACGCAGCGACGCCGCGUGA